RNAcentral lists this long non-coding RNA (1214 nucleotides) under Mus musculus (house mouse). RNAcentral describes it as "RIKEN cDNA E330011O21 gene". The record is from RNAcentral. Lineage: Eukaryota; Metazoa; Chordata; Mammalia; Rodentia; Muridae.
UCCAGCUGUUCUAACACCUCCUGCCUGCCAGUACUGACUCUUUAUGCAUGGGGGCUUCCGGCUUAUCUAUACUUCGAAGACAGUGAACUAGGUUAACCAGAUAUAGGACUCCUCUGUCUUGCUACGAUGGACAGCCACAAGGAUUCACUUGAAUAAAAGAAGCAACAGUGGGUGCCAGGCUGUUUGAAAUGUGCUGUUUUGUUAUACAUUUAUUACAAAGAAUCUCACAAAAAGAAAAUAUUUCAAAAAGAAUGCCAGGCUAAAGAACCUCCACCUGGAGAACUGGGGGAAGGCAGGGCAAUGUAAGUUCUUCUGCCUGCCCAAGACCUGUGGAAGAUAUAAACAGAACCAGUCUAAAAAUGGCUGAUAUUACCCAAGCCUGAAAAGGGCUCACAGAACACCAAGUCACCCCUGCUAGAAAGCUUAAUCAGGGCAUCUUAACAGAGCUCCUAAGCAGGCUUGGCAGUUCAGGAUUUUGUCUUCUGGUUGUUUUCUUUUCCACUUAGAAUAUCAACGUCAACAUACAGCACCCUCUGGCCAUACUUUAGCAGUUCCAGGAUGGCCAAGACGACAUCGUUGAUGUAACAGAAACCUGAGGCGUCAGACUUCUUUACAUGAUGCAGUCCCCCAGCCUGGCUCGCAGUGAUGUCCCUCUGAUGUGUAUCAAGUUUCACAGCACUUUCCAAAGAGCCACCAAUAGACAACUGACAACUCAGACAGGCCAUCGAUUACCGGGAAGUCCUCACCAACGCGGAAUCUCUGCAUCUGCUUGCUGUAUUUAGACACAUUAUCUGGGCGAAUAGAGCACAAGAGUUUAAUGUAGUCAUCACUGUGGGACUUGGUCAUCUCCUCAGCGUUGGCUCUGUGAGGACGAUAGAUUUCCAUUUUUUGGUAGAGAUGUAGUUGAGCUGCAAAUCACGAGUCAUGUGGAUUCGGUGAGGCUUCAUUGGGUGGCCCUGUCCAUAAGAUAGUUUCCAACAUCCCUGUUAACAGACGUUCCUCUUGCCCUGAGUCUGUGCCAUCUUUCUCACCACCCAGUGCUCCUGCCAGUCUGAUGUUUUAAUAUUUUUAGAUGGUGAUGCUUUGAGUUUAAAUGGCCUUUGACAAAUUCUAUCCUAAUUUCUAAUUAAGACAAGGAAAGAAAACAAAGAUGGAUAAGGACCAUAAAGUAAUGAAUGGACUGGAAACAGAAGUAAACUUAUUCAACAAUAAAA